Molecule: transfer RNA, 78 nt
Filed under: Streptomyces sp. YIM 121038
Lineage: Bacteria; Bacillati; Actinomycetota; Actinomycetes; Kitasatosporales; Streptomycetaceae
Description: tRNA-Asp
Source: RNAcentral
CACCGCGUCGCGGGCGGCGUCGCGCGCCGCCGUGUCGAGGCGGCCGUCGGCCACGUCGGUCGCGUCCACCGCGGUGAC